UGCUCUCGAAGAAGUGGAGUUCAAUGGCUUCGAAGGAAAGGAUCAUGAGUUUGAUUUAGUGAAAUUGAUAAUCGGAUGUGCACCGAUGUUAAAAAGAAUGAUUGUGAAGCUGUCACAAGAGACCUCGGCAAGUAAUGAUGGAUGCGCAAAGAUACACAACAUCUUCAAGUAAUGUUGUGUGCCGCGAGCUCAGCUUGACACAGCGUGUCGACAUCGUCGCGCCGGCGCUUAAGCAAUUGACCAUGUCAUUUAGCACGAUGGAGCUGAUCAGCAGCUCUGUCUUGGCACCAUUGGUGGAAAAGGUUUCGUGGCACUGCUACUACUUGGGGCCGUAUGUUGCGUUUGGUCUUUGGGGCAUCAGCAAGCUGCGGCUACAGACGGCAGACAGACAAGAACAGAUGUCCUCGCUGCAAAGUCAUGCCUGGGCGGUGCGCCCCUCUACUGCUCAAUCUGCUGCAAGCUCUUGAGUAAAUUAAUUUUGUGAAUGAUAUAUAUCUUUGCAAAUUGUUUUUUCAGGACACGUCUCUUUUUUACGCCGAUGCGGGCAACUUCGCGCAGGAGAUAAAGAAACAUAUGGUUGCCGCCUUCUCUGUUUUAGAGCUGCAUCUCACAGCAAAGGGCAUGCUUUUGGAGCGUUUGUGUUUCAUCUCCUUGGGAUGGAUCGGAUUCGUACUGCUACGCGGAGGCUUAAGGUCGUCCUAGAGAGAUCAGCGGUAAUUCUUUGCUCUUAUUAUAUACCCUAAUAAUACAUUGUGUGGUUAUUCAACAUUUUUGGGUUUUAGAUGAAAGGAGGAUGCCUGCCACUUUGUCCUUGUGGGUUUCCGAACUGGAAGUCCCAAAUUAUCUGCUUGGCUGCUCUCGAAGAAGUGGAGUUCAAUGGCUUCGAAGGAAAGGAUCAUGAGUUUGAUUUAGUGAAAUUGAUAAUCGGAUGUGCACCGAUGUUAAAAAGAAUGAUUGUGAAGCUGUCACAAGAGACCUCGGCAAGUAAUGAUGGAUGCGCAAAGAUACACAACAUCUUCAAGGCAUGUUCUUCUGUGGAAUGUGAUGUUUAUGACAGCUCUGGUGAGUAUAUGUUUGGCAUGCAUUAUUA
Molecule: long non-coding RNA, 1090 nt
Filed under: Triticum aestivum (bread wheat)
Lineage: Eukaryota; Viridiplantae; Streptophyta; Magnoliopsida; Poales; Poaceae
Description: long non-coding RNA (TAES_LNC018498)
Source: RNAcentral